GAGACCUCAGGUCAGGCGGGGCUACCCGCUGAAUUUAA
Molecule: ribosomal RNA, 38 nt
Filed under: Astragalus canadensis
Lineage: Eukaryota; Viridiplantae; Streptophyta; Magnoliopsida; Fabales; Fabaceae
Also listed under: 9 other names
Description: partial 26S ribosomal RNA
Source: RNAcentral